UUUGCGGUGUGUCAGAUGGAUUGCAAGACAACAGCCAAGCAAAACUGGAUGAGCAUAUAAAGAUAUGAUACAUCGAAAUAAAAAAAAUCAGAUAAACUGAACUGGGGUGACCUGUGGAAUUGCUUUUAAAGUACUCUAAUAUAUCAUUAAGACUUGGUGAUAUCUAUCUUCAUUUCUGUCUGUUUUUUUUUUAAUGAGUUCACAAGGACUCGGCCAAAAGAAAUAGUUUGAAAUACAAAAAUGUUAAUAUGCAACAUUAGCCUCAGUGACUGACUUUAAGUUAAGUUUAGCGUGGACUUAUUUCCCCUCAGUAUUUUGUUUGACACAACUGAAAAAUCCAAUUGAAUUGAAAUGCAUCACACGUGACAAAAAUCUCUUAUCUGAUUGGUCACUGAGAAUGUAAACAGGAAGUAUGUUUGCUCUAAGGACCGACGGGUGAAAUUAAUUAAUGAAAAUAACACGGAGCAAAGUAACACAAAUAAUUAUGAUUCUAAUCAUUGUAAUUCACGAAUAUAUGGAUACUAUAUCGAAUAAACGACUCUUUUAAGAGGAUGGAAUCUCCUGUAUGCGGUAAAUCGAAGAGGUCCGAUGCUAACCGCUAAAGUGACGACUAUUUUGCUGAGAGGAGAUGUUGCUGUGCGUGGCGUAGUAUGACACGGUGAUGGGCAGCAAGUGGCGGACGUCCGGGGCGGGCUGCGACGACAGAUUGAGCUCCACCGAGUCCCUCACGACCCAGAAGGGCUCCUCGGGCAUCUGGUGCUCAUAGAAGAUCACUCCUGACUCCAGCUGAGGGAUGAGGACAGAGACGGCCCCAUGCAGGUUUUCUGCUGCACGGCUGCUUGUCUCGACUCCUCACCUGGAAACACCAUCAGCUCCUCUUGCGUUACCAUGGAGAUGGUGAGGGGCCUGGCCGUGACCACGAACCUGUAGAGAGGAGACGUGUGCUGGCCGUCCGUCACCGUGAAGCUGAAGCCGCCGGACUCCUCGCCUGCAGACAAACACAUUUUUAACCACGUGACUCGCCCACGCACGCAAGCGUCUCGACCCUCAUCCCCCCUCACCCUCGUGGAUGAAGAUGAUCUCCCCCUUGUCGAUUUGGGCCUGCGUGAAGUUGGCAAUGGCCUCCUCCGGGAACUCCUUGAACGCCGCCAUGCCGCCGGUGGUGGCCUCCAGGUUGUAGACCAACGCCUCCGUGGGGGUGUCGGCGUCCUCCGUGGUUAGCAUGCUGGACGUGAUGUCGGCCUCCUCGCCGGGGAGCACCUGGGAGCGAAGAUGACACGAUGGAUGCACGCAGCGGCCACAACAUUAGCUCAUGUCUCCCCGGGCGAGAAACACUUUGAUGGAAGCAGUGAGAGAACGCAGCACGCCGAGACAACACGCCGGCGUUGACCUGGUUUCCAACCCGGGCUGAAAAUGGCGGCGUUCCUCAGAAAAAAGGAAACCACAGCUCACCAGUUCCUGCAGCACUCGUGCAGACCAGACAGUGACACUACCAGUGCCAAGGCAACAGACUUUCAGAAUGUCAAAGUACUUUGUUGGAAUUCAUCUUGUCCCAUAAUGAACUGCUGCUCCCCAGUGCCGGCAGCAC
This is a long non-coding RNA of Entelurus aequoreus (snake pipefish), 1588 nucleotides long. RefSeq lists it as uncharacterized. The record is from RefSeq and is a predicted model, not a curated record. Lineage: Eukaryota; Metazoa; Chordata; Actinopteri; Syngnathiformes; Syngnathidae. The transcript has 5 exons.